CCUACGGGCGGCAGCAGUGAGGAAUAUUGGUCAAUGGGCGCGAGCCUGAACCAGCCAAGUAGCGUGAAGGAUGACUGCCCUACGGGUUGUAAACUUCUUUUAUAAAGGAAUAAAGUGAGGCUCGUGUGCCUUUUUGUAUGUACUUUAUGAAUAAGGAUCGGCUAACUCCGUGCCAGCAGCCUCGGUAAUACGGAGGAUCCGAGCGUUAUCCGGAUUUAUUGUGCUUAAAGGGAGCGUAGAUGGGUUGUUAAGUCAGUUGUGAAAGUUUGCGGCUCAACCGUAAAAUUGCAAUUGAUACUGGCAGCCUUGAGUACAGUUGAGGUAGGCGGAAUUCGUGGUGUAGCGGUGAAAUGCUUAGAUAUCACGAAGAACUCCGAUUGCGAAGUCAGCUUACUAAACUGCCACUGACAUUGAUGCGCGAAAGUGUGGGUAUCAAACAGGAUUAGAUACCCGGGUAGUC
Molecule: ribosomal RNA, 460 nt
Filed under: uncultured bacterium
Lineage: Bacteria
Description: partial 16S ribosomal RNA
Rfam family: Bacterial small subunit ribosomal RNA
Source: RNAcentral